Small nuclear RNA from Hirundo rustica (Barn swallow), 108 nucleotides. The record is from RefSeq and is a predicted model, not a curated record. Lineage: Eukaryota; Metazoa; Chordata; Aves; Passeriformes; Hirundinidae.
CUCAGGGCCAGGGUUUCUGGAUGAGCCAGUGUAAAAUUGGAACGAUACAGAGAUGAUUAGCAUGGUCCCUGCACAAUGAUGACACACAAAUUCUUGAAGCAUUCCAUU